AUAGCUCCCCCUGGAGGAGACGCCCGACAGAGCAGCGCGUCCUUCUCUACCGCCACGUGACAGCGGGCGCCAACCGACAAGGCUAAGUCGUGGGGCAACGGCGGGGCCCCUCGGGGCCCUCGGAGAGCAGCGCCCGCCCCCGCCCCUGCCCCCCUCGGAGAGGAGCUGGAGUGGCGGCCCCAUCCCUGGCCCGCCCUUCCCGCCCCCGCGCGGAUUGGCCGGGCAGCCGGCGGUUGGGAUUCUCGGCCAAUGGGGCCCCGAGGGGCGGGGCCUCGGGAGAGCCGCGCCUUCCCGCCACACGGUCACGUGACGCCCGCCAACGGCCGAGGAGGCCGACGCCCCGCCGGGGGCUUCGCCGCCUCGGGUCCGAGGGGAAGGAUGGUUUUCCCCCCAACUCCCAAGGACGAAGGCCGACGGCGCCGGAUCCCCGGAGCUGCCCCGAGGCGGAAGAGAGAGCUGUCUCUCCGGGUCCCUGGCCGCCCCCUCUCCGGCCCCCCCCGGGCCCGGCCCCGGCCCCGGCCUCAUGGUUUGCAAAAUAAAGCUGGGGGUCUCUGAAGGGGCAGUGCGCCGCAGGACCAUCCCGUAGAGUCGGGGCUUGGGGGACCCAGCGGCGGGGGGCGGGCGGCGAGACAAGGGCCCCCACUGCCCCUCCUGACCUGGCAUCCCUUGACUCCCACCCGGCCUUUCCUCUGCUCCUGCUGCCACCGCUGCUCCCACAGCCCCAGCCGAAGGUGAAGGUGACCCCCUCCGCAACCAUGAGUGCAGAGGAGAGUGAGAUCUUCACCGAAGGCCCCGUCGUCAGGAUGAAGGAGCUCACAUUCUUCCCCGUCUGCAUCGAAUUUUUGAAACCAACCAAAUUGUUGUCUAGGGACACUGAACAAUUAAAGAUGGCAGAGCUGAGUUUCACGACCAGCAGGAAACACUUCGAUGCGAUAGUCAUUGGAAGUGAAUUCGAAUCAGGAGACAGCACCUUCCGGGUGCAGUUGCGGCUUGGUUUAUGGGACGCUCAGGGACCUCAACCAGACUGUCAUCCUCAGCAGUUGAUCAUCAUCGACAACGGGCAGUUAUGUCUUCCACCUGUGGAGGCCAGUGGUAAACAUUACAGCCGUCCUGUGGAUAGCACCCAAUGGUAUCAUGCUCCUUUGGUCACUGAGUGA
RNAcentral lists this long non-coding RNA (1157 nucleotides) under Ornithorhynchus anatinus (platypus). RNAcentral's name for it is "lncRNA (ENSOANG00000046118.1)". The record is from RNAcentral. Lineage: Eukaryota; Metazoa; Chordata; Mammalia; Monotremata; Ornithorhynchidae.